Molecule: transfer RNA, 76 nt
Filed under: Candidatus Peribacteria bacterium
Lineage: Bacteria; Candidatus Peregrinibacteriota; Candidatus Peribacteria
Description: tRNA-Lys
Rfam family: tRNA
About the family: Transfer RNA (tRNA) molecules are approximately 80 nucleotides in length. Their secondary structure includes four short double-helical elements and three loops (D, anti-codon, and T loops).
Source: RNAcentral
GGGAUACUAGCUCAGUAGGUAGAGCAGCGCCCUUUUAAGGCGAAGGUCUUGGGUUCGAUCCCCGAGUGUCCCACCA